This is an RNA transcript of Populus euphratica (Euphrates poplar), 3209 nucleotides long. It is a transcript of the gene named two-component response regulator-like APRR9, with no coding region annotated. The record is from RefSeq and is a predicted model, not a curated record. NCBI's taxonomy places the organism in Eukaryota, Viridiplantae, Streptophyta, Magnoliopsida, Malpighiales, Salicaceae. The transcript has 8 exons.
CUCAAUCAAAAACCUAAACCAAAACACACAAAAGCUACGAAAUAAAAGGAAAAGAAAAUCCUCCGGGUGAAGAAGAUAUUUUUUGCGGUUUUCGCGGCUGUGAGUGAAAGUUGGAAAUCUAUAGGCGGUUUUUACUACCUCGUUUAGGAUGAGGUUAAUUUCGUUUUAGCACACUCUCUCCUCUCUUUUCCUUUCUGCUACUACUACGACUACGGACUGCUGUUUUCAUUUUGAAUUUUUUGCAGAAAUUAGGGUUUGUUUGUUGCGUUGAUUUUUAAGUUCAGAUUUUGUUUUCUCUGCGAGUAAUAGCGUGUUUGAGAAUGGGUGAGGUGGUGGUGAGUAGCAGCAGUGAACAGUUGGAGGGGAUGGCGGUGGAGUUAGAGACAGAGAAGAAGGAUAUUGGAUCAUCGGAGGUGGUUCGAUGGGAAAAGUUUCUGCCAAGGAUGGUGCUCAGCGUUCUUUUGGUUGAAGCUGAUGAUUCUACUCGUCAGAUUAUUGCUGCUCUUCUCCGAAAAUGCAGUUACAGAGUUGCUGCUGUUCCUGAUGGAUUAAUGGCAUGGGAGACUUUGAAGGGUGAACCUCAUAACAUAGAUCUCAUAUUAACUGAGGUGGAGCUGCCUUUAAUAUCAGGAUAUGCACUUCUUACUUUGGUCACGGAGCAUGCUGUUUGCAAAAACAUUCCUGUCAUAAUGAUGUCUUCACAAGAUUCAAUUAGCAUGGUUCUGAAGUGCAUGUUAAAAGGAGCAGCUGACUUUCUCGUUAAGCCUGUUCGGAAGAAUGAAUUGAGGAACUUGUGGCAGCAUGUUUGGAGGAGGCAAACUCUAAGUGCUGGACAAAUCCCUCAAAACUUGCAUAAAGUGGAGGCCUCAUCUGAAAACAACGCUGCAAGCAGUGGUUCGAGUGACCCUGUGAUAUCUUCGCAGAAAAAUAAGGAUUGCAGCGAGAAAGGGCGUGAUGCCCAAAGCUCUUGUACGACCCCUUGCUUGGAAGCUGAGAGUGCUCACAUGCAAAUUAUGCAGGGACUUUCACAGAUGAAGUAUAGGAGUGCUUCAAAUCUGAGCAACACGGAUAGAGAGGAGUUCGAAGAGUGUGCCAAAUUAGAUAAAAGCCCUGUAACUCCUGAGAACAAGACUGGAGUAUUUGUACCAGAAAGGUCGAACCAAAUGGAGUCAGACGGAGAACUGUGCAGUGGAGCUUAUAAUCCAACUUCUUUGAGACUGCUAGAAGAGCAUGCUUGUGCCAAGUCAGUGAUUCAAGAUGAAAAUUCGAGACCAGAAAAUGACGGGGGGCUUGCUAAUAGCUCCUUUGGCUGUGAUGAUGUUCCUUUUGAAUCCUCAAGUGGAGCCAUUGACUUGAUUGGUACCUUAAAUAAUGGUCCAAAGGCCACUUAUGUACACUCUAGUUUACAUUAUGGCACAAACAAGUUCGAAUUUGCUCCACAACUUGAACUCUCUCUCAAAAGAUUGUAUCCCAGGAGCUCAAAGAACCAGGGGGUAGAUGAAAGACAUGCACUGAACCAUUCCCAUGCCUCAGCCUUCUCAUGGUACAAUAGCAAGACAUUGCAACCUCCUUUUCCAGCAUCUGCCAGUAAUGGUUCUGAUUCCAAGGAAGAAGCCAGCAAGUCUCCUGAGCUGUCAUCCAAUCAACAUGCUCAAAACAUUAAUUCUAUUUCUCAGAGACAUGGUGCCACUUUGAGUGGGAAUCAAGAUAUGACCAUUCCAAUCAUUGGCCAAUCUGGGAAGGCUGAAUUAGCAUAUCCAAGCCCUCGAAAUGGAUUGAUUCCUGUUCGAAGGGGAAUGCUCAACAAUAUAUCUACCGAAUACAGUCAUGAUUUCUCCCCUCUAUAUUAUACUCAAUCAAGUGCAGCAUGGAGUCCCAAACUUGCUGGGUGGCAGCAGUCUCCAUAUCCUCUUAGUACCUCAAUUCAUUCAAAUCCUGAUAUUCAUGAUUCUGAGAAAAAUCACAGGUGUUCUGAUGAAACUACUUACAACUCUGUUGACCAAAAUGAUCAUCAGCAGAACAAUAAGGAACCUGUGGAUGAAGUGAGACAUGACUCACCUGCUGCUGGUCAGAGUACUGGAGGUUUAUGUAAUGAUUCUGUCAUUCAUAAUAAGAGCAGUGCAUAUGAAAGCUUUGGCAGUAAAGAUGAUGGAAUUGCCAAAGAGAAGGCCAUGGCUCAAGAGAAUUUGAAUGAUGGGGACAACUUCAAUCGUGAUGGUUUUAGAGGGAUGGAUUCCCUUCGCUCCAGCCAAAGAGAAGCUGCUCUAACAAAGUUCCGGCUGAAGCGGAAAGAUCGAUGCUAUGAGAAGAAGGUAUGUGCGACUUAUUGCAUAAGCAGAUAUUUUUCUCAUGUGCACCGAGGUGAUUCCAUCAACAGCUGCUCUGGACCUGUGUCAUAUAGCUGUCGUAUCUUAUCAUGAUCAUUACUUUAAAUUGUCAUCCUUUCAUCAACCCUUCCUAUUACUGAUUUACAUGUUGCCAUGAGUAAUUUGAACUAGCUUGGGAAUUUCAAUUUCAAGUGAACUGUAGCACAUGUAUCAUGGACAGAGACAGGAAAUCUUAGCAUUCAGCUGCUAAGAAUGAUGUGUUAUUCCCUGUGGUUCGAUACCAAAGCCGGAAAAGACUGGCAGAGCAACGUCCUCGGGUGAAAGGACAGUUUGUUCGUCAAGUGCAAAAUGAUUCCCCCACUUGCUAAUAGUUGACCAUGAAAUUCAUCAUCACACGCCUGUUUAUUGCUAUCAUGUGCCUUGACCUUUUGGAAAUAAUGGCAUGACUAUGGUGAGAUAAGAAUGUGUUUGCAAGCUUCUUUACCUUUGGGUCUAAUGACAGUAUGGUUCUAACUGUAAUUUUUGGGUCUAUUGAAAGGGUAGACUUGUAAUUAUGGGGUAAGGCUAUCUGAAUCCUCUUCUACUCUGGUUAUUUUGUUUGCUUGCUCAGUAGAUGACUGACUUAUAGUAGUUAGAGAGCUUUAAUAGCGUGGUAAUUUUGCGUUGAUAGUAUAAAAAUGGGCUUGUUUAUUAAGUUAGCUAUGUCAGUAUUGUAUCAUAUGAUUGCUGAGCAGCUUCCACAGUGUCCGUCUAAAAUUUAUGUACUCAUCAACCUUGCUUUCUGUUGCUCUUCUAUAAAAUAUGUUUGAAUUCCUGGUGAGAUUUGUAGAUAAACUUUUAUUUUGAUCAAUCAAUUAGGAGAAAGUGGAUGCUAUUGCUAUU